This 1907-nucleotide ribosomal RNA is filed under the name human gut metagenome. RNAcentral's name for it is "bacterial LSU rRNA". It matches the Rfam family "Bacterial large subunit ribosomal RNA", at positions 420 to 2415 of the family's 2925-position model. The record is from RNAcentral.
GGACACGUGAAACCCGGUGGGAAUAUGGGGGGACCAUCCUCCAAGCCUAAAUACUACCCAGUGACCGAUAGCGUAUAGUACUGUGAAGGAAAGGUGAAAAGCACCCCGGGAGGGGAGUGAAAAAGAACCUGAAACCCUGUGCUUACAAGCACUGAGAGCUCGUCAAAGAGUGAUCAGGUACCUAUUGUAGAAUGGUCCGGCGAGUUAUGAUAUGCAGCAAGGUUAAGUACUUAAGGUACGGAGCCGCAGCGAGAGCGAGUCUGAAUAGGGCGUAAAGUUGUAUGUCAUAGACCCGAAACCGAGUGACCUAGCCAUGUCCAGGCUGAAGUGGAGGUAAAACUCCAUGGAGGGCCGAACCGACCUCCGUUGAAAAGGCGGCGGAUGAGGUGUGGCUAGCGGAGAAAUUCCAAUCGAACUCGGAUAUAGCUGGUUCUCUCCGAAAUAGCUUUAGGGCUAGCGUUGCAACAGAUUACCGGAGGUAAAGCACUGAAUAGGCUAGGGGGCGAGAGCUUACUGAACCUUAUCAAACUAAGAAUGCCGGAUAAUUGAUUUGCAGCAGUCAGACAGUGUGAGAUAAGUUUCAUUGUCAAAAGGGAAACAGCCCAGACCCACAGCUAAGGUCCCAAAGUACAUUUGAGUGGAAAAGGAUGUGGGGUUGCAUAGACAACCGGGAUGUUGGCUUAGAAGCAGCCAUACAUUAAAAGAGUGCGUAAUAGCUCACCGGUCGAGUGACCCUGCGCCGAAAAUUCAACGGGGCUAAAAUGUACACCGAAGCUUGGGAUUGUACUUUGUACAGUGGUAGGAGAGCGUCGUAUGAGAGGAGAAGUCAGAGCGGAAGCGCUGGUGGAUUUCAUACGAGUGAGAAUGCCGGAAUGAGUAGCGAGAAUUAUGUGAGAAUCAUAAUGGCCGAAAGUCUAAGGUUUUGGAAGGAAGGUUCGUCCGCUUCCAGUAAGCCGGGAGCUAAGGUGAGGCCGAAAGGCGUAGCCGAUGCACAUACGGUUGAAAUUCCGUAGCCUCCGAAGUAUUUAAACAGAAGGACACUUGAGAAGUGAUGUUGCCGGGCGAUGGUUGACCCGGUCGUAAGGGACCGAAAUUUAGUAGGGAAGUCAUCAUGGAUCGAGGCGAGAAAAGUUCUGUGAAUAUACAAGGAGCCCGUACCGCAAACCGACACAGGUAGAUAGGAAGAAAAUUCUAAGGCCAACGGGAGAAGGGUUGUUAAGGAACUCGGCAAGUUGACCCCGUAACUUCGGAAUAAGGGGUGCUCUCGAGAGAGAGCCGCAGAGAAUAGGCCCAGGCGACUGUUUAGCAAAAACACAGCUCUAUGCUAAAUCGAAAGAUGAUGUAUAUGGGGUGACACCUGCCCGGUGCCGGAAGGUUAAGAGGAGGCGUGAGAGCGCUGAAUUGAAGCCCCGGUAAACGGCGGCCGUAACUAUAACGGUCCUAAGGUAGCGAAAUUCCUUGUCAGGUAAGUUCUGACCCGCACGAAUGGCGUAAUGAUUUGGGCACUGUCUCAACAGCCCGCCCGGCGAAAUUGUAGUACCGGUGAAGAUGCCGGUUACCCGCGACUAGACGGAAAGACCCCAUGGAGCUUUACUGCAGCUUAAUGUUGAAUUUCGGUAUUUCAUGUACAGGAUAGGUGGGAGACUGGGAACUACAGGCGUCAGCUUGUGGGGAGUCACUGUUGGGAUACCACUCUUGAAGUGCUGGAAUUCUAACCUGCGGCCUUGAAUCAGGUCGGGGGACAUCGUUAGGCGGGCAGUUUGACUGGGGCGGUCGCCUCCAAAAGAGUAACGGAGGCGCUCAAAGGUUCGCUCAGCAUGGACGGAAACCAUGCCAAAGAGUGCAAACGCAAAAGCGAGCCUAACUGCGAGACUGACGGGUCGAGCAGUAACGAAAGUUGGAGUUAG